Molecule: ribosomal RNA, 253 nt
Filed under: uncultured bacterium
Lineage: Bacteria
Description: partial 16S ribosomal RNA
Rfam family: Bacterial small subunit ribosomal RNA
Source: RNAcentral
UACGUAGGGUGCGAGCGUUGUCCGGAAUUAUUGGGCGUAAAGGGCUCGUAGGCGGUUUGUCGCGUCGGGAGUGAAAUCCACUGGCUUAACUGGUGGCUUGCCUUCGAUACGGGCAGACUGGAGGUAUGCAGGGGAGAACGGAAUUCCUGGUGUAGCGGUGAAAUGCGCAGAUAUCAGGAGGAACACCGGUGGCGAAGGCGGUUCUCUGGGCAUUACCUGACGCUGAGGAGCGAAAGUGUGGGGAGCGAACAGG